CAUCUUUGAGAAAUCAAUAUAAUACUUAAGUACUAUUUAGAGCUUAACAUCUCCUCAAAGAAU
This 63-nucleotide transfer RNA is filed under the name Antechinus arktos. RNAcentral describes it as "tRNA-Lys". Lineage: Eukaryota; Metazoa; Chordata; Mammalia; Dasyuromorphia; Dasyuridae. The record is from RNAcentral.